This 2931-nucleotide ribosomal RNA is filed under the name Escherichia coli. RNAcentral's name for it is "23S ribosomal RNA". It matches the Rfam family "Bacterial large subunit ribosomal RNA". Lineage: Bacteria; Pseudomonadati; Pseudomonadota; Gammaproteobacteria; Enterobacterales; Enterobacteriaceae. The record is from RNAcentral.
GGGUUGUGAGGUUAAGCGACUAAGCGUACACGGUGGAUGCCCUGGCAGUCAGAGGCGAUGAAGGACGUGCUAAUCUGCGAUAAGCGUCGGUAAGGUGAUAUGAACCGUUAUAACCGGCGAUUUCCGAAUGGGGAAACCCAGUGUGUUUCGACACACUAUCAUUAACUGAAUCCAUAGGUUAAUGAGGCGAACCGGGGGAACUGAAACAUCUAAGUACCCCGAGGAAAAGAAAUCAACCGAGAUUCCCCCAGUAGCGGCGAGCGAACGGGGAGGAGCCCAGAGCCUGAAUCAGUGUGUGUGUUAGUGGAAGCGUCUGGAAAGGCGCGCGAUACAGGGUGACAGCCCCGUACACAAAAAUGCACAUGCUGUGAGCUCGAUGAGUAGGGCGGGACACGUGGUAUCCUGUCUGAAUAUGGGGGGACCAUCCUCCAAGGCUAAAUACUCCUGACUGACCGAUAGUGAACCAGUACCGUGAGGGAAAGGCGAAAAGAACCCCGGCGAGGGGAGUGAAAAAGAACCUGAAACCGUGUACGUACAAGCAGUGGGAGCACGCUUAGGCGUGUGACUGCGUACCUUUUGUAUAAUGGGUCAGCGACUUAUAUUCUGUAGCAAGGUUAACCGAAUAGGGGAGCCGAAGGGAAACCGAGUCUUAACUGGGCGUUAAGUUGCAGGGUAUAGACCCGAAACCCGGUGAUCUAGCCAUGGGCAGGUUGAAGGUUGGGUAACACUAACUGGAGGACCGAACCGACUAAUGUUGAAAAAUUAGCGGAUGACUUGUGGCUGGGGGUGAAAGGCCAAUCAAACCGGGAGAUAGCUGGUUCUCCCCGAAAGCUAUUUAGGUAGCGCCUCGUGAAUUCAUCUCCGGGGGUAGAGCACUGUUUCGGCAAGGGGGUCAUCCCGACUUACCAACCCGAUGCAAACUGCGAAUACCGGAGAAUGUUAUCACGGGAGACACACGGCGGGUGCUAACGUCCGUCGUGAAGAGGGAAACAACCCAGACCGCCAGCUAAGGUCCCAAAGUCAUGGUUAAGUGGGAAACGAUGUGGGAAGGCCCAGACAGCCAGGAUGUUGGCUUAGAAGCAGCCAUCAUUUAAAGAAAGCGUAAUAGCUCACUGGUCGAGUCGGCCUGCGCGGAAGAUGUAACGGGGCUAAACCAUGCACCGAAGCUGCGGCAGCGACGCUUAUGCGUUGUUGGGUAGGGGAGCGUUCUGUAAGCCUGUGAAGGUGUGCUGUGAGGCAUGCUGGAGGUAUCAGAAGUGCGAAUGCUGACAUAAGUAACGAUAAAGCGGGUGAAAAGCCCGCUCGCCGGAAGACCAAGGGUUCCUGUCCAACGUUAAUCGGGGCAGGGUGAGUCGACCCCUAAGGCGAGGCCGAAAGGCGUAGUCGAUGGGAAACAGGUUAAUAUUCCUGUACUUGGUGUUACUGCGAAGGGGGGACGGAGAAGGCUAUGUUGGCCGGGCGACGGUUGUCCCGGUUUAAGCGUGUAGGCUGGUUUUCCAGGCAAAUCCGGAAAAUCAAGGCUGAGGCGUGAUGACGAGGCACUACGGUGCUGAAGCAACAAAUGCCCUGCUUCCAGGAAAAGCCUCUAAGCAUCAGGUAACAUCAAAUCGUACCCCAAACCGACACAGGUGGUCAGGUAGAGAAUACCAAGGCGCUUGAGAGAACUCGGGUGAAGGAACUAGGCAAAAUGGUGCCGUAACUUCGGGAGAAGGCACGCUGAUAUGUAGGUGAAGUCCCUCGCGGAUGGAGCUGAAAUCAGUCGAAGAUACCAGCUGGCUGCAACUGUUUAUUAAAAACACAGCACUGUGCAAACACGAAAGUGGACGUAUACGGUGUGACGCCUGCCCGGUGCCGGAAGGUUAAUUGAUGGGGUCAGCGCAAGCGAAGCUCUUGAUCGAAGCCCCGGUAAACGGCGGCCGUAACUAUAACGGUCCUAAGGUAGCGAAAUUCCUUGUCGGGUAAGUUCCGACCUGCACGAAUGGCGUAAUGAUGGCCAGGCUGUCUCCACCCGAGACUCAGUGAAAUUGAACUCGCUGUGAAGAUGCAGUGUACCCGCGGCAAGACGGAAAGACCCCGUGAACCUUUACUAUAGCUUGACACUGAACAUUGAGCCUUGAUGUGUAGGAUAGGUGGGAGGCUUAGAAGUGUGGACGCCAGUCUGCAUGGAGCCGACCUUGAAAUACCACCCUUUAAUGUUUGAUGUUCUAACGUUGACCCGUAAUCCGGGUUGCGGACAGUGUCUGGUGGGUAGUUUGACUGGGGCGGUCUCCUCCUAAAGAGUAACGGAGGAGCACGAAGGUUGGCUAAUCCUGGUCGGACAUCAGGAGGUUAGUGCAAUGGCAUAAGCCAGCUUGACUGCGAGCGUGACGGCGCGAGCAGGUGCGAAAGCAGGUCAUAGUGAUCCGGUGGUUCUGAAUGGAAGGGCCAUCGCUCAACGGAUAAAAGGUACUCCGGGGAUAACAGGCUGAUACCGCCCAAGAGUUCAUAUCGACGGCGGUGUUUGGCACCUCGAUGUCGGCUCAUCACAUCCUGGGGCUGAAGUAGGUCCCAAGGGUAUGGCUGUUCGCCAUUUAAAGUGGUACGCGAGCUGGGUUUAGAACGUCGUGAGACAGUUCGGUCCCUAUCUGCCGUGGGCGCUGGAGAACUGAGGGGGGCUGCUCCUAGUACGAGAGGACCGGAGUGGACGCAUCACUGGUGUUCGGGUUGUCAUGCCAAUGGCACUGCCCGGUAGCUAAAUGCGGAAGAGAUAAGUGCUGAAAGCAUCUAAGCACGAAACUUGCCCCGAGAUGAGUUCUCCCUGACUCCUUGAGAGUCCUGAAGGAACGUUGAAGACGACGACGUUGAUAGGCCGGGUGUGUAAGCGCAGCGAUGCGUUGAGCUAACCGGUACUAAUGAACCGUGAGGCUUAACCUUACAACGCCGAAGGUGUUU